ACCAGGAUGGCCGAGUGGUUAAGGUGUUGGACUUAAGAUCCAGUGGACAUAUGGUCCACGUGGGUUCGAACCCCACUCCUGGUA
Molecule: non-coding RNA, 84 nt
Organism: Chanos chanos (milkfish)
Lineage: Eukaryota; Metazoa; Chordata; Actinopteri; Gonorynchiformes; Chanidae
Source: the annotation of a RefSeq genome assembly